GAUCUAUGAUGAUCCUAUCCCGAAUCUGAAUUCCUGUUGAAAAACUGUAGUUACAGAUCUGGCUUCUGAGAU
Molecule: small nucleolar RNA, 72 nt
Organism: Rattus norvegicus (Norway rat)
Lineage: Eukaryota; Metazoa; Chordata; Mammalia; Rodentia; Muridae
Product: small nucleolar RNA SNORD50
Source: Ensembl